AGAGUUUGAUCCUGGCUCAGAACGAACGCUGGCGGCGUGCCUAACACAUGCAAGUCGAACGGAAUUGAGGUGCUUGCACUUCAAUUUAGUGGCGCACGGGUGAGUAACGCGUAGAUAAUCUGCCUGAUGAUCUGGGAUAACAGUUCGAAAGGACUGCUAAUACCGGAUAAGCCCACGGGGUCUUUGGACUUUGCGGGAAAAGGGGGGGACCAUUUGGCCUUCUGUCAUCAGAUGAGUCUGCGUACCAUUAGCUAGUUGGUAGGGUAAAGGCCUACCAAGGCUACGAUGGUUAGCCGACCUGAGAGGGUGAUCGGCCACAUUGGAACUGAGACACGGUCCAAACUCCUACGGGAGGCAGCAGUGGGGAAUAUUGCACAAUGGGCGAAAGCCUGAUGCAGCAACGCCGCGUGAGUGAUGAAGGCCUUUGGGUCGUAAAGCUCUGUCCUAAGGGAAGAAAAAAAUGACGGUACCUUAGGAGGAAGCCCCGGCUAACUACGUGCCAGCAGCCGCGGUAAUACGUAGGGGGCAAGCGUUAUCCGGAAUUAUUGGGCGUAAAGAGUGCGUAGGUGGUUAUUUAAGCGCGAGGUGAAAGGCUACAGCUUAACUGUAGUAAGCCUUGCGAACUGGAUGACUUGAGUGCAGGAGAGGAAAGCGGAAUUCCUAGUGUAGCGGUGAAAUGCGUAGAUAUUAGGAGGAACACCAGUGGCGAAGGCGGCUUUCUGGACUGUAACUGACACUGAGGCACGAAAGCGUGGGGAGCAAACAGGAUUAGAUACCCUGGUAGUCC
This 787-nucleotide ribosomal RNA is filed under the name uncultured bacterium. RNAcentral's name for it is "bacterial SSU rRNA". It matches the Rfam family "Bacterial small subunit ribosomal RNA", at positions 8 to 796 of the family's 1533-position model. The record is from RNAcentral.